Molecule: ribosomal RNA, 496 nt
Filed under: uncultured bacterium
Lineage: Bacteria
Description: partial 16S ribosomal RNA
Rfam family: Bacterial small subunit ribosomal RNA
Source: RNAcentral
AUGAACGCUGGCGGCGUGCCUAAUACAUGCAAGUCGAGCGAACAGAUGAGGAGCUUGCUCCUCUGACGUUAGCGGCGGACGGGUGAGUAACACGUGGAUAACCUACCUAUAAGACUGGGAUAACUUCGGGAAACCGGAGCUAAUACCGGAUAAUAUAUUGAACCGCAUGGUUCAAUAGUGAAAGACGGUUUUGCUGUCACUUAUAGAUGGAUCCGCGCCGCAUUAGCUAGUUGGUAAGGUAACGGCUUACCAAGGCAACGAUGCGUAGCCGACCUGAGAGGGUGAUCGGCCACACUGGAACUGAGACACGGUCCAGACUCCUACGGGAGGCAGCAGUAGGGAAUCUUCCGCAAUGGGCGAAAGCCUGACGGAGCAACGCCACGUGAGUGAUGAAGGUCUUCGGAUCGUAAAACUCUGUUAUUAGGGAAGAACAAAUGUGUAAGUAACUAUGCACGUCUUGACGGUACCUAAUCAGAAAGCCACGGCUAACUACGUG